AAAUUCUGGUAAUCGCUGCGGCGCUAGACGUCGUAGAGGAAAGUCCAUGCUCACACGGUACUGAGAUGUCCGUAGUGUUCGUGCUUACUGAAAAAAUAAGGUAAGGCAGCUGAAAAGGCUGACGGCGGAAGGAAAACCUAAGUCCUUGGAUAUGGUUGACACUUCCUGAAAGUGCCACAGUGACGAAGCUUGCUUGGAAACAUGCAAGGUGGAACGAGGUAAACCCCACGAGUGAGAAACCCAAAUUAUGGUAGGGGCACUCUCUUGAAGGAAUUGAACGGAUAGAGGGACGGAGCUUGCUCUGUAGAUAGAUGAUUACUAACUGGUCGUACGAGGCGCAAGCUGUUUGAGUACUCAGGAACAAAACAUGGCUUAUGGAA
Molecule: RNase P RNA, 380 nt
Filed under: Lysinibacillus fusiformis
Lineage: Bacteria; Bacillati; Bacillota; Bacilli; Caryophanales; Bacillaceae
Description: RNase P RNA component class B
Rfam family: Bacterial RNase P class B
About the family: Ribonuclease P (RNase P) is a ubiquitous endoribonuclease, found in archaea, bacteria and eukarya as well as chloroplasts and mitochondria. Its best characterised activity is the generation of mature 5'-ends of tRNAs by cleaving the 5'-leader elements of precursor-tRNAs.
Source: RNAcentral